AGUGCACAUACAUGUGCACAGUCAUACAUACAAAACACCCAUAUACAUAAAACAAAUCUUAAAAAGAAAGAGCAUCUCAGAGAUCAUGGCUUUAGCCUGGAUCUUCCUCCUCUGUGUGACUUAGUAGUUUUGAUUAGAAGAGAAAAAGACAAAAAGAGCCAACUGCUCAGAUGUAAUUUGAGUGGCUUUUCCUCUUUGUCUUGAACUCCUGUUGCUUCCUGUUUGGGGGGUGAAGACAUAACUAAUUUUCAACGUAAAGAGCAUAGGUAGGGUCCUUCCUAACAGCAAGCCCACGGGUGUCCUCACCUAACAGUAAGCCCACGGGUGUCCUGACCUCACGGUGUCCUGACCUUGGGGAUAGAGGGGAACAGAAGCAGGAGGUGGCAAGCGUCGGAGGGUUGGACUUGUUUCCAGCCAUGGCUGGGGGUGGGGGUUGGGGGGAUAGGAGAGAUGGGUAUUCUUCUGUCCUCAGAGACAGCUGCUAACUACACCAGGGACUGUACACUCACUCAGGCCCCUGCCUCUAGAGUGAUCUACCUCUCUCGUCCUGUGAAACUAUAGUUUUGGGGAAAAGUUUUUAGCACUCAGGUUGUGACUUGCUAGUACCAAGCCCCCACCUUGGCUAUUCGUGGAAAGGAACAAAUUGCAUAUAGAGCACAUACCGAGAAAGUAGGGUUUAGUUCCUCCAGGCCGCUGCAGCUAAAACACUGUGAAUCGGGCAGCUAAUGAGCAACAGCAAUGUAUCUUCCAAAGUUCUGCAGGCCUAGGAGUCCUGGAAGGCACUGGCAGAUGAGGCUGGAGUCUGGCAAGGACAUAAUUUUGGUCCUCAGCUGCUAUUUCUUCACACGGAGAAGAGCAGAACCAGCCUCUGCAGCCUUGGUUCUGAACCACUCAUCCUGUCCUGCCCAUCCUCCUAGCAACCUCAAGGCUUCUCCUAACUGUCAGCAGGUUAGCAUUGAGCACACGGGGAUGGGGUAGGCAGGGAGCCAGCUUCUGUGUCAGGAGGCAACUCUUGGGAAAGGGUGCUCACAGGGAGAGUUCCAUCCUUGCACAGGCGCCUGAUCACACCGCGCUCCGCCAGCCUUGCUCCCGGCCUGUCCUGCAUUCUGCGGUUUCCCUGUGACUGUGGUGUUGUCUUUGCAGGAAGAAAAGGACAAGGUGCAAGCGCAGAAGGAGGAGGUUCUCAGCCACAUGAACGACUUGCUGGAGAACGAGCUCCAGUGCAUUAUCUGCUCGGAGUACUUUAUUGAGGUAAGUGUGCGGUGCUCACCCCCACCCUGGUGCACCGGCCUCUGGCACCAGGGGAUCAUUCUUUAGACAAGACUCGGUCCUCACUGUGCUGCCCCUCCUUAGACACUUACAUGCACAGUUACCGUUUAACUGCAGUGAAACUCCGGGGGCCACUGAGCCUGAGGGUUUGAAGUGUUGGGAAUAUAACUGCCCACUGCUGCUGCUGUUCCUUUCCUCUGGGUGGGCACGGCGCGCUGUGUGGACUUGUGGUUUGGCUUUGAAGCAGAGUAGUGAGUGCCAUUGAUUGUGUGGUCACUGUGGGUAUCAGGCACCAGAAUGAAUUUAUUUCAUGGCUUUGUGGGUCCUUUUGAAAAGCAAACACCCAGCCAGGCAUGAUGGCCCACGCCUUUAAUCCCAGCACUCGGGAAGCAGAGGCAGGCCGAUUUCUGAGUUCGAGGCCAGCCUGGUCUACAAGGUGAGUGCCAGGACAGCCAGGGCUACACAGAGAAACCCUGUCUGGAAAGAACCAAACC
Molecule: long non-coding RNA, 1763 nt
Filed under: Mus musculus (house mouse)
Lineage: Eukaryota; Metazoa; Chordata; Mammalia; Rodentia; Muridae
Description: long non-coding RNA chr17:29633517-29635280
Source: RNAcentral